This 309-nucleotide ribosomal RNA is filed under the name uncultured bacterium. RNAcentral describes it as "partial 16S ribosomal RNA". It matches the Rfam family "Bacterial small subunit ribosomal RNA", at positions 504 to 807 of the family's 1533-position model. The record is from RNAcentral.
AGAGACAGCAGUAGCCGCGGGAACACAGAGGGUGCAAGCGUUACUCGGAAUUACUGGGCGUAAAGCGUGCGUAGGUGGUGGUUUAAGUCCGUUGUGAAAGCCCUGGGCUCAACCUGGGAAUUGCAGUGGAUACUGGGUCACUAGAGUGUGGUAGAGGAUAGUGGAAUUUCCGGUGUAGCAGUGAAAUGCGUAGAGAUCGGAAGGAACAUCUGUGGCGAAGGCGACUGACUGGACAAGUAUUGACGCUGAGGUGCGAAAGCGUGGGGAGCAAACAGGAUUAGAUACCCCCGUAGUCCCUGUCUCUUAUAC